Molecule: unclassified non-coding RNA, 431 nt
Filed under: soil metagenome
Description: partial contains 5.8S ribosomal RNA, internal transcribed spacer 2, and large subunit ribosomal RNA
Rfam family: 5.8S ribosomal RNA (bases 1-120)
Source: RNAcentral
GAUGAAGAACGCAGCGAAAUGCGAUACGUAAUGUGAAUUGCAGAAUUCAGUGAAUCAUCGAAUCUUUGAACGCAUAUUGCGCUCUCUGGUAUUCCGGAGAGCAUGCUUGUUUGAGUAUCAGUAAACACCUCAACUUCCAUAUCUUUUUUGAAAUGGGAGUUGGACUUGAGUGAUCCCAACGCUUUUCCUCACCGAAAAGUGGCGGGUUACUUGAAAUGCAGGUGCAGCUGGACUUUUCUCUGAGCUAUAAGCAUAUCUAUUUAGUCUGCCUAAAAACAGAUUAUUACCUUUGCUGCAGCUAACAUAAAGGAGAUUAGUUCUUGUGCUGACUGAUGCAGGAUUCACAAAGACAGGCUUCGGCCGACUUUGUAAACUCGAUCUCAAAUCAAGUAAGACUACCCGCUGAACUUAAGCAUAUCAAUAAGCGGAGA